GGGAGUGUAGCUCAGAGGUAGGACAGGGCACUUGCCUGGCAUGUGAGAGGCCCUGAGUUCAAUCCUCAGCAUUGCAA
Molecule: non-coding RNA, 77 nt
Organism: Ictidomys tridecemlineatus (thirteen-lined ground squirrel)
Lineage: Eukaryota; Metazoa; Chordata; Mammalia; Rodentia; Sciuridae
Source: Rfam